RNAcentral lists this ribosomal RNA (599 nucleotides) under uncultured bacterium. RNAcentral describes it as "bacterial SSU rRNA". It matches the Rfam family "Bacterial small subunit ribosomal RNA", at positions 1 to 608 of the family's 1533-position model. The record is from RNAcentral.
ACGCGCGGAUCUUCCAGAGAUUAGAGUUUGAUCCUGGCUCAGGACGAACGCUGGCGGCGUGCUUAACACAUGCAAGUUGAACGGUCUGACAUGGAAGCUUGCUGAAGUGUCGGGUAGUAGCGGACGGGUGAGUAAUGCAUGAGAAGCUGCCAUUGGGAGGGGGACAACAGUUGGAAACGGCUGCUAAUACCCCAUAUGCCGAAAGGUGAAAGGGAGCGAUCCGCCCGAUGAGGUGCUCAUGUCCUAUCAGCUAGUUGGUGAGGUAACGGCUCACCAAGGCGACGACGGGUAGCCGGCCUGAGAGGGUGACCGGCCACACUGGAACUGAGAUACGGUCCAGACUCCUACGGGAGGCAGCAGUGGGGAAUAUUGGGCAAUGGGGGGAACCCUGACCCAGCGACGCCGCGUGAGGGAAGACGGCCUUCGGGUUGUAAACCUCUUUUGUACGGGAAGAAGGACGUGACGGUACCGUACGAAUAAGUCCCGGCUAACUACGUGCCAGCAGCCGCGGUAAUACGUAGGGGACGAGCGUUGUCCGGAAUUACUGGGCGUAAAGGGCGCGCAGGCGGUAUAUCAAGUCAGCUGUCAAAGACUGGGGC